This 106-nucleotide ribosomal RNA is filed under the name Candidatus Carsonella ruddii. The record is from RNAcentral. Lineage: Bacteria; Pseudomonadati; Pseudomonadota; Gammaproteobacteria; Oceanospirillales; Halomonadaceae.
UUUAAUAUUUAACAAAUAGGAAACACGUGAUCUCAUUCCGAACUCAAUAGUGAAACUAUUUUAACCUUAUGGUAGCAUUUUAUGUGAGAGUAAGAUUAUAUUAAAU